This 843-nucleotide ribosomal RNA is filed under the name uncultured Bacillota bacterium. Its description in RNAcentral is "bacterial SSU rRNA". It matches the Rfam family "Bacterial small subunit ribosomal RNA", at positions 58 to 879 of the family's 1533-position model. The record is from RNAcentral. Lineage: Bacteria; Bacillati; Bacillota.
CAAGUCGAACGCGAAAGUGGAGCAAUCCAUAAGUAGCGUGGCAAACGGGUGAGUAACGCGUGGGCGACCUACCUCAGAGUGGGGGAUAACCUUCCGAAAGGAGGGCUAAUACCGCAUGACAUCCCGUGUUUGGAUACACGGACAUCAAAGCCGGGGAUCGCAAGACCUGGCGCUUGGAGAGGGGCCCGCGUCCGAUUAGCUAGUUGGUGAGGUAACGGCUCACCAAGGCUUCGAUCGGUAUCCGGCCUGAGAGGGCGGACGGACACACUGGGACUGAGACACGGCCCAGACUCCUACGGGAGGCAGCAGUGGGGAAUUGUUCGCAAUGGGCGCAAGCCUGACGACGCAACGCCGCGUGGAGGAUGAAGACCUUCGGGUCGUAAACUCCUUUCGACCGAGAUGAAUUUCCGCCGGCCUAAUACGUCGGCGGGGUGACAGUAUCGAGGGAAGCAGCCCCGGCUAACUCCGUGCCAGCAGCCGCGGUAAUACGGGGGGGGCAAGCGUUGUUCGGAAUUACUGGGCGUAAAGGGUUCGUAGGUGGCUGGCUAAGUCAGACGUGAAAUCCCUCAGCUCAACUGGGGAACUGCGUCUGAGACUGGUCAGCUUGAGUGCAGGAGAGGAACGCGGAAUUCCAGGUGUAGCGGUGAAAUGCGUAGAUAUCUGGAGGAACACCGGCGGCGAAGGCGGCGUUCUGGACUGCAACUGACACUGAGGAACGAAAGCCAGGGGAGCAAACGGGAUUAGAUACCCCGGUAGUCCUGGCCCUAAACGAUGAAUGCUUGGUGUGGCGGGUAUCGAUCCCUGCCGUGCCGUAGUUAACGCGUUAAGCAUUCCGCCUGGGGA